RNAcentral lists this ribosomal RNA (1344 nucleotides) under uncultured bacterium. RNAcentral's name for it is "16S ribosomal RNA". It matches the Rfam family "Bacterial small subunit ribosomal RNA", at positions 28 to 1378 of the family's 1533-position model. The record is from RNAcentral.
GACGAACGCUGGCGGCGUGCUUAACACAUGCAAGUCGAACGGAAAGGCCCUGCUUUUGUGGGGUGCUCGAGUGGCGAACGGGUGAGUAACACGUGAGUAACCUGCCCUUGACUUUGGGAUAACUUCAGGAAACUGGGGCUAAUACCGGAUAGGAGCUCCUGCUGCAUGGUGGGGGUUGGAAAGUUUCGGCGGUUGGGGAUGGACUCGCGGCUUAUCAGCUUGUUGGUGGGGUAGUGGCUUACCAAGGCUUUGACGGGUAGCCGGCCUGAGAGGGUGACCGGCCACAUUGGGACUGAGAUACGGCCCAGACUCCUACGGGAGGCAGCAGUGGGGAAUAUUGCACAAUGGGCGGAAGCCUGAUGCAGCAACGCCGCGUGCGGGAUGACGGCCUUCGGGUUGUAAACCGCUUUCGCCUGUGACGAAGCGUGAGUGACGGUAAUGGGUAAAAGAAGCACCGGCUAACUACGUGCCAGCAGCCGCGGUGAUACGUAGGGUGCGAGCGUUGUCCGGAUUUAUUGGGCGUAAAGGGCUCGUAGGUGGUUGAUCGCGUCGGAAGUGUAAUCUUGGGGCUUAACCCUGAGCGUGCUUUCGAUACGGGUUGACUUGAGGAAGGUAGGGGAGAAUGGAAUUCCUGGUGGAGCGGUGGAAUGCGCAGAUAUCAGGAGGAACACCAGUGGCGAAGGCGGUUCUCUGGGCCUUUCCUGGCGCUGAGGAGCGAAAGCGUGGGGAGCGAACAGGCUUAGAUACCCUGGUAGUCCACGCUGUAAACGGUGGGUACUAGGUGUGGGGUCCAUUCCACGGGUUCCGUGCCGUAGCUAACGCUUUAAGUACCCCGCCUGGGGAGUACGGCCGCAAGGCUAAAACUCAAAGGAAUUGACGGGGCCCCGCACAAGCGGCGGAGCAUGCGGAUUAAUUCGAUGCAACGCGUAGAACCUUACCUGGGUUUGACAUGGAUCGGGAGCGCUCAGAGAUGGGUGUGCCUCUUUUGGGGUCGGUUCACAGGUGGUGCAUGGCUGUCGUCAGCUCGUGUCGUGAGAUGUUGGGUUAAGUCCCGCAACGAGCGCAACCCUUGUUCACUGUUGCCAGCACGUUAUGGUGGGGACUCAGUGGAGACCGCCGGGGUCAACUCGGAGGAAGGUGGGGAUGACGUCAAGUCAUCAUGCCCCUUAUGUCCAGGGCUUCACGCAUGCUACAAUGGCUGGUACAGAGAGUGGCGAGCCUGUGAGGGUGAGCGAAUCUCGGAAAGCCGGUCUCAGUUCGGAUUGGGGUCUGCAACUCGACCUCAUGAAGUCGGAGUCGCUAGUAAUCGCAGAUCAGCAACGCUGCGGUGAAUACGUUCCCGGG